UUUCCCAUUUCUUUCUAUUUCCAACCGAAAACUCCAUUGUUGUUAGCUAAGGAAGCUUUGGCCUUGCAUAAACUCAUGCAUGUAAGUCAAUUUCACACUUAUUUUGUAUGAAUUUUAUGUUUUUGAAAUUGUUGUAGCUUAAUUUAGCUAGUCUAGAAACUAUUUUGAAAUAUUUUCAAAGUUUUGAAAACUUUCCAUUAAUGUUCUUGAAGCUUUUUAGAUGUUAAUGCUUGAGUUUGAAGUUUGAUGAUGAAAUAGGACAAUUUUGUAAAGUGAUUUUGAAUAGGUUUUAAGUUUAGGGAUUAAAUCAAAGUAUGUUAAAUUUGUCAUGGGUUUCUUGCGAAAUUUCAAUACUUGAGGGUUGUAUAGGGAUGGAUAUGAAUUCAACAUGUUAGCCUAGGGCUUAAUUGUGAAAAAUAAGCUUGUUUUGGUUUUAGGGAUUAAAUUGAACAAAAUGCAAAAAUUUAGAAAAAUUGUGAAAAUAUUAAUAGGAAGGGAAGCCUACAAGUUUGGCACUCGAUGUCCAGGCGUGUUUUGGAGGGAUGUUAGCCUUCGGGCUAGGCACUCAAUACUCAGACGUGCUCUUGGUUGGAUUAUCUCGAUUAAGCAUUCUAGCGUGUCUUGGAUGGAUAACCGCAUAUCUGUAUCUGUUCAUAUUGGUUCAUCGGGCUGAAUAGUGAUUUUUAAUUGGUAUAAUGGCUUAUAUUGAUGUGUGGUAAUAAUGCCUUGAUGAAUGAAUUGUAAAUGUGCUCAAACUUAUCGAUAUUAUAUUGUGACUUGGUAUUGAAUGAACUUGUAUAGCUUGAAUGAUAUAUUACUUGCAUAAAAUGAACUCACCCAUUGGAAAUGGUUGUGUUGACAG
Molecule: long non-coding RNA, 862 nt
Filed under: Gossypium barbadense (sea-island cotton)
Lineage: Eukaryota; Viridiplantae; Streptophyta; Magnoliopsida; Malvales; Malvaceae
Description: long non-coding RNA (GBAR_LNC015091)
Source: RNAcentral